CACAGAAGCAGAGGAAGGUUUAGAACAAGCGUUUUUUCAUAGAGACCUAUACGUCUAAGGCAAAAAAAAAAAAGGGUUACGGCAAAGGAUUUUUUUUCCUUGUAAUUUCAGCAUGAGUUUUCAACUGUAAAGACUGAGCUUAUACUAUUUUUAUUGCUUUGCCUGAACCUACUGAUCCCACAGUCUUAACUGUCUCAACUUAGUGCUUUUAGGCAAUGAAAUGUGAAUGUAUAUGUCUGUAUCAAACUGCAAUUUGUUUUACUCCUACAAAUAUGAAGCCAUACUACGAUGAGGCUUUCAGUUUAGGAUAUCACAGAGGUGGUGUACCUAAGCUGCACUUAAAUGAUCCUUUAAAAUGUUUAUUUUUUGAUUAAGCCAAAUAUAAUGAUUAGCUUACUACACUGAGAGUUAGUGUCUGAGAGUUAUUCUGUCCACAGAAUUCUCUGCCUGCACAAAGGAUGCAGUAGCACAAUUUUAGUUCUUCGCUGGCUAUGCUGCUGCAGAACCUGUCAUCUGAAGGUUUUUGUCCCUUUGCAUUUGUGAAUUCCCUUUGUAAUGCUGCAUUAUUCCUCUUCAUCCAUGCUUCAAAAUCAGUUCCUAGAACUCUCUUUCCAAAUAACCAGAGUUCCUAAAAGAUAUUUAUUCUGUGUGACUAAAGUAGCUAGGCAUCUUGUGGAGCAUCUGUAGGAAGCAAAUGCAUGGGAUUAGCCUACAUGGCCACUGAAUGUGUUUGUUGCUGCAUGUGAAAACGAUGUCAUCUCUAAGUGUUGUUUAUUCUGAUGAGAAUGUCAGUCCUUUCAGGUUGGUAUGAAACAGCCCAUCUCCGGAAAUGUGUGGAAAACAAAUGGAAGAUCCUAUUUUUUCCAAGAUAAAGACUUUACAAGCUGCCGAAUGCCUUGUUCACUGGUAAGACUUUUUUUCAGGAAUCUUGCAUUGCUGCACUACCCUGGUUCAGAAGUCAGAGCGCUUGGUAGCUCAGGAUGUCUUCAAGAACUCUAGGACUGCUGCUGCUGCUCGUGGUACAAGCACAAAGAUGAGGUUAAGAUUUCCCCCACCAGUGCACACUCACCAGCCCUGAGGCACAGCUCCCUGCUCUGCUCCUGACAUGUGUUUCUCUGUGAACUUGGACGGUGCCUACCACGCUGGCAGGAAGCCACACCGGAGCUAACAGAGAGGCACGGGAACUCAGCAGCAAUAAACAGGACACUGAACCCCCUGCA
RNAcentral lists this long non-coding RNA (1220 nucleotides) under Apteryx owenii (little spotted kiwi). Its description in RNAcentral is "lncRNA (ENSAOWG00000005468.1)". The record is from RNAcentral. Lineage: Eukaryota; Metazoa; Chordata; Aves; Apterygiformes; Apterygidae.